AUUGAACGCUGGCGGUAGGCCUAACACAUGCAAGUCGAACGGUAACAGGAAGAAGCUUGCUUCUUUGCUGACGAGUGGCGGACGGGUGAGUAAUGUCUGGGAAACUGCCUGAUGGAGGGGGAUAACUACUGGAAACGGUAGCUAAUACCGCAUAACGUCGCAAGACCAAAAAGGGGGACCUUCGGGCCUCUUGCCAUCGGAUGUGCCCAGAUGGGAUUAGCUAGUAGGUGGGGUAACGGCUCACCUAGGCGACGAUCCCUAGCUGGUCUGAGAGGAUGACCAGCCACACUGGAACUGAGACACGGUCCAGACUCCUACGGGAGGCAGCAGUGGGGAAUAUUGCACAAUGGGCGCAAGCCUGAUGCAGCCAUGCCGCGUGUAUGAAGAAGGCCUUCGGGUUGUAAAGUACUUUCAGCGGGGAGGAGGGGAGUAAAGUUAAUACCUUUGCUCAUUGACGUUACCCGCAGAAGAAGCACCGACUAACUCCGUG
RNAcentral lists this ribosomal RNA (490 nucleotides) under uncultured bacterium. RNAcentral's name for it is "partial 16S ribosomal RNA". It matches the Rfam family "Bacterial small subunit ribosomal RNA", at positions 30 to 507 of the family's 1533-position model. The record is from RNAcentral.